This 602-nucleotide ribosomal RNA is filed under the name Wakarumbia sp. UPOL MD0132. RNAcentral describes it as "partial 16S ribosomal RNA". It matches the Rfam family "Bacterial large subunit ribosomal RNA", at positions 1816 to 2714 of the family's 2925-position model. The record is from RNAcentral. Lineage: Eukaryota; Metazoa; Arthropoda; Insecta; Coleoptera; Lycidae.
CAUGUCCUUUUGAUAAUAAUUUAAGGUCUGAUCUGCUCAAUGAAGUUUAAAUUGCCGCAGUAUUUUGACUGUGCAAAGGUAGCAUAAUAAUUAGUUUUUUAAUUAAGAACUGGUAUGAAUGAUUGGACAAGAAAAUUACUGUCUCUUUUUUAAUUUUUAUUGAAUUUUAUUUUUAAGUGAAAAAGCUUAAAUUUUUAUAAAAGACGAGAAGACCCUAUAGAGUUUAAUAUUCUUAUCUAUUUAAAUAUAGAAUUUUUUUUAGUUAAGGUUUAUUUAGUUGGGGUGAUUUGAAGAUUAAAUAAAUUCUUUAAUUAAAAAAUUAGUGAUUUCUAAAAUAAAUUUCUACUAUUUGUAAGUUUAAAAUAAAUUACCUUAGGGAUAACAGCGUAAUUUUUCUUUAAAGUUCUUAUUAAAAGAAAAGUUUGCGACCUCGAUGUUGGAUUAAAAUUAAUUUUUGGUGCAAUAACUUAAAAAUUAGGUCUGUUCGACCUUUAAAAUUUUACAUGAUCUGAGUUUAAACCGGUGUAAACCAGGUUGGAUUCUAUCUUUAAAUAAUUAUUAUAUUUUAGUACGAAAGGACCAAAUAUUUAUUAAAUUAAUUG